RNAcentral lists this non-coding RNA (21 nucleotides) under Arabidopsis thaliana (thale cress). The record is from RNAcentral. Lineage: Eukaryota; Viridiplantae; Streptophyta; Magnoliopsida; Brassicales; Brassicaceae.
ACAUUUUCCUUUUUGGAUGUC